GGCUAACGCUGGCGGCGUGUCUUAGCCAUGCAAGUCGAGCGGACUUAUGGGAUAACUUAUAAGUCAGCGGCGGACGGCGGAGUAACACGUAGCUAACCUACCCUCUGGACGGGGAUAACCUACCGAAAGGUGGGCUAAUACCCGAUGUAGUCAUCCUGUAUAGGGGUGAUGAAAGGUGGGCUUCUGUUUACAAGCUCAUGCUGGAGGAGGGGGCUGCGGCCUAUCAGGUAGUUGGUAGGGUAAUAGCCUACCAAGCCGAUGACGGGUAGCCGGCCUGAGAGGGUGACCGGCCCGAGGGGCACUGAGAUACGGGUCCCACUCCUACGGGAGGCAGCAGGCUAGAAAUUUGGGCAAUGGGGGAAACCCUGACCCAGUGACGCCGCGUGCAGGAAGGAGCCCUUCGGGGUGUAAACUGCUGUCGUGUAGGGAGAAGGGUACUAAGGUGAACAAUCUUAGUACUUGACGGUACUACAGGAGGAAGCCCAGGCUAACCUCGUG
RNAcentral lists this ribosomal RNA (498 nucleotides) under uncultured bacterium. RNAcentral's name for it is "bacterial SSU rRNA". It matches the Rfam family "Bacterial small subunit ribosomal RNA", at positions 28 to 507 of the family's 1533-position model. The record is from RNAcentral.